Bradysia coprophila is the source of this 77-nucleotide long non-coding RNA. The record is from RefSeq and is a predicted model, not a curated record. Lineage: Eukaryota; Metazoa; Arthropoda; Insecta; Diptera; Sciaridae.
AUUCUAUUGUUCUAUAAAAUGAAUAGUUAAAUGCAGAAUCUGGACGUGUCACAUUAGCGACUUAUAAGAAAAAUGAA